This 463-nucleotide ribosomal RNA is filed under the name uncultured bacterium. Its description in RNAcentral is "partial 16S ribosomal RNA". It matches the Rfam family "Bacterial small subunit ribosomal RNA", at positions 30 to 507 of the family's 1533-position model. The record is from RNAcentral.
CGAACGCUGGCGGCGUGCUUAACACAUGCAAGUCGAACGGAAAGGCCCCUUUGGGGGUACUCGAGUGGCGAACGGGUGAGUAACACGUGAGUAACCUGCCCUUGACUUCGGGAUAACUUCAGGAAACUGGGGCUAAUACCGGAUAGGAAUCCUUGCUGCAUGGUGGGGGUUGGAAAGCUUCGGCGGUUUUGGAUGGACUCGCGGCUUAUCAGCUUGUUGGUGGGGUAGUGGCUUACCAAGGCUUUGACGGGUAGCCGGCCUGAGAGGGCGACCGGCCACAUUGGGACUGAGAUACGGCCCAGACUCCUACGGGAGGCAGCAGUGGGGAAUAUUGCACAACGGGCGGAAGCCUGAUGCAGCAACGCCGCGUGCGGGAUGACGGCCUUCGGGUUGUAAACCGCUUUCAGCAGGGGCGAAGCUUGUGGUGACGGUACCUGCAGAAGAAGCACCGGCUAACUACGUG